Molecule: ribosomal RNA, 253 nt
Filed under: uncultured bacterium
Lineage: Bacteria
Description: partial 16S ribosomal RNA
Rfam family: Bacterial small subunit ribosomal RNA
Source: RNAcentral
UACGUAGGGUGCAAGCGUUGUCCGGAAUUAUUGGGCGUAAAGAGUUCGUAGGCGGUUUGUCGCGUCCGUUGUGAAAGCUUGGGGCUCAACCCCAAGCCUGCAGUGGAUACGGGCAGACUAGAGUCAGGUAGGGGAGAACGGAAUUCCUGGUGUAGCGGUUAAAUGCGCAGAUAUCAGGAGGAACACCGGUGGCGAAGGCGGGUCUCUGGGCCGAUACUGACGCUGAGGAGCGAAAGCGUGGGGAGCGAACAGG